Neoarius graeffei (lesser salmon catfish) is the source of this 441-nucleotide non-coding RNA. The record is from the annotation of a RefSeq genome assembly. Lineage: Eukaryota; Metazoa; Chordata; Actinopteri; Siluriformes; Ariidae.
AUGACUGAGAGCUGCUGCUCAGAGACUUCACCCACAGCAACCAUGAGUUUGAUCAGCGUCUUCAUCUGCACACUGGCCCUCUGCGCUCGAGGAUCCAGAGGUCAGGUGACUGUGACUCAGAGUCCUGCAGUGAAAUCUGUUUCUCCAGGAGACACACUCACCAUCAGCUGUAAAACCAGUCCUGCUGUUUUCUAUGGUGGUGGUUAUUAUUUGUCCUGGUAUCAGCAGAAAGCUGGAGAAGCUCCUAAACUCCUGAUCUAUGGUGUUAACAGGAGAGAAUCCGGUAUUCCAGCUCGUUUCAGUGGCAGUGGAUCUGGAUCUGAUUUCACUCUGACCAUCAGUGGAGUCCAGACUGAAGAUGCUGGAGAUUAUUACUGUCAGAGUUACCAUGAGAUCAGUAGUAGUGCGGUGUUCACACAGUGUUAAAGCGUCGUACAAAAA